GAUUAACGCUGGCGGCGUGCCUAACACAUGCAAGUCGAGCGGCAGCGUCUUUUCUACUGGCUUCUGGGUGCUUCUCGUUGAGGGAUAUGCUUUAUUCAAGAGUUUUGUGUAAAGUGUCUGCGAGUGGCGGACUGCUGGGUCACUCGUGGGAACGUACCUCGAAGUGGGGUCUGCCGCCUCUAAAGGUGUUCUAUUACCGCGUAUUGUCUUCGCAUUCCAGCCUUCGGUCGCUUUAGGAACGGCCUGCGUAAGAUUAGGUAGUUGGUGGGGUAAUGGCCUACCAAGUCGACGAUCCGUAGCUGGUUUGAGAGGAUGAUCAGUCAGACUGGAACUGAGACACGGUCCAGACUCCUACGGGAGGCAGCAGUGAGGAAUCUUACACAAUGGGGGAAAGCCUGAUGGAGCAAUGCCGCGUGAAGGAUGAAGGCCUUCGGGUUGUAAACUGCUUUUAGAAGUGAGGAUUAUGACAGUAACUGAUGAAUAAGGAUCGGCUAACUACGUG
This 502-nucleotide ribosomal RNA is filed under the name uncultured bacterium. Its description in RNAcentral is "partial 16S ribosomal RNA". It matches the Rfam family "Bacterial small subunit ribosomal RNA", at positions 28 to 507 of the family's 1533-position model. The record is from RNAcentral.